RNAcentral lists this ribosomal RNA (441 nucleotides) under uncultured bacterium. RNAcentral describes it as "partial 16S ribosomal RNA". It matches the Rfam family "Bacterial small subunit ribosomal RNA", at positions 338 to 795 of the family's 1533-position model. The record is from RNAcentral.
CCUAUCGGGUGGCAGCAGUAGGGAAUAUUGCUCAAUGGGGGAAACCCUGAAGCAGCAACGCCGCGUGGAGGAUGAAGGUUUUCGGAUUGUAAACUCCUUUUGUUAGAGAAGAUAAUGACGGUAUCUAACGAAUAAGCACCGGCUAACUCCGUGCCAGCAGCCGCGGUAAUACGGAGGGUGCAAGCGUUACUCGGAAUCACUGGGCGGAAAGGGAACGGAGGCGGGAUAGCAAGUAAGAUGUGAAAUCCUAUGGCUUAAACGUAGAACUGCAUUUGAAACUGUCAUUCUAGAGUAUAGGAGAGGUAGGUGGAAUUCUUGGUGUAGCGGUAAAAUCCGUAGAGAUCAAGAGGAAUACUCAUUGCGAAGGCGACCUGCUAGAACAUAACUGACGCUGAUGCGCGAAAGCGUGGGGAGCAAACAGGAUUAGAUACCCCUGUAGUC